This is a long non-coding RNA of Panonychus citri (citrus red mite), 488 nucleotides long. RefSeq lists it as uncharacterized. The transcript is spliced from 3 exons. NCBI's taxonomy places the organism in Eukaryota, Metazoa, Arthropoda, Arachnida, Trombidiformes, Tetranychidae. The record is from RefSeq and is a predicted model, not a curated record.
CAAAUGAUCUUCAGUGAUUGUGAACUAAUCGAUUCAAUUCUCACAUUAUUUGGAGCCUCUCCUGGUGCUAUUAGAACAAUUAUCCAAUCAUCAAAAUAUUAUUUUAGUUUCCCAACGAAUUGUUAUUAUUUCAUCUGAUGGAUCACUCCGACCGAAAGUAUUCUGAGCUAGAACUCGAAUUCGAUAAAUUGUCUCUGGUAAAAGGCCAGUUAUCAAGGCGGUACAUUCUUUAGGAUUAACCGAUGUUGUCUCAAACGAAUUGGUCCAAAUACCUUUAAUGAUAAUAAUCGUCACCAAUGGAGACAGAAAAAAAAGUAAAUGAGAUGAUAAUCAUCAAGUGAUUAAUGAAUUUUAUAAUCAAGAAUUGGACUGUUACCAUCAUCAGGAGCUUCCCAGGCAAUGGUCACAUCGCGACUCGCCACUUCAACGGAACGUAAAUUACGAGGAGAUCGAGGUGAACCUUGGACAAUUAGAUGGAUCGUUUUUUC